This 492-nucleotide ribosomal RNA is filed under the name uncultured bacterium. RNAcentral's name for it is "partial 16S ribosomal RNA". It matches the Rfam family "Bacterial small subunit ribosomal RNA", at positions 29 to 507 of the family's 1533-position model. The record is from RNAcentral.
AGUGAACGCUGGCGGUAGGCCUAACACAUGCAAGUCGAACGGCAGCACAGUAAGAGCUUGCUCUUACGGGUGGCGAGUGGCGGACGGGUGAGGAAUACAUCGGAAUCUACUUUUUCGUGGGGGAUAACGUAGGGAAACUUACGCUAAUACCGCAUACGACCUACGGGUGAAAGCAGGGGAUCUUCGGACCUUGCGCGAUUGAAUGAGCCGAUGUCGGAUUAGCUAGUUGGCGGGGUAAAGGCCCACCAAGGCGACGAUCCGUAGCUGGUCUGAGAGGAUGAUCAGCCACACUGGAACUGAGACACGGUCAAGACUCCUAAGGGAGGCAGCAGUGGGGAAUAUUGGACAAUGGGCGCAAGCCUGAUCCAGCCAUACCGCGUGGGUGAAGAAGGCCUUCGGGUUGUAAAGCCCUUUUGUUGGGAAAGAAACGCAGCAGGUUAAUACCCCGCUGUUCUGACGGUACCCAAAGAAUAAGCACCGGCUAACUUCGUG